This 253-nucleotide ribosomal RNA is filed under the name uncultured bacterium. RNAcentral describes it as "partial 16S ribosomal RNA". It matches the Rfam family "Bacterial small subunit ribosomal RNA", at positions 524 to 776 of the family's 1533-position model. The record is from RNAcentral.
GACGAACCGUGCAAACGUUAUUCGGAAUCACUGGGCAUAAAGGGCGCGUAGGCGGCUCCAAAAGUCAGGGGUGAAAUCCGGCAGCUUAACUGUCGCAGUGCCUUUGAUACUGUGGAGCUAGAGGGAGGUAGGGGUCUGUGGAACUUCCGGUGGAGCGGUGAAAUGCGUAGAUAUCGGAAGGAACACCGGUGGCGAAAGCGGCGCGCUGGAUCUCUUCUGACGCUGAGGCGCGAAAGCUAGGGUAGCGAACGGG